RNAcentral lists this ribosomal RNA (497 nucleotides) under uncultured bacterium. Its description in RNAcentral is "partial 16S ribosomal RNA". It matches the Rfam family "Bacterial small subunit ribosomal RNA", at positions 28 to 507 of the family's 1533-position model. The record is from RNAcentral.
GAUGAACGCUGGCGGCGUGCCUAAUACAUGCAAGUCGAGCGAACGGACGAGAAGCUUGCUUUUCUGAUGUUAGCGGCGGCCGGGUGAAUAACACGUGGAUAACCUACAUAUAAGACUGGGAUAACUUAGGGAAACCGGAGCUAAUACCGGCUAAUAUUUUGAACCGCAUGGUUCAAAAGUGAAAGACGGUCUUGCUGUCACUUUUAGAUGGAUCCGCGCUGCAUUAGCUAGUUGGUAAGGUAACGGCUUACCAAGGCAACGAUGCAUAGCCGCCCUGAGAGGGUGAUCGGCCACACUGGAACUGAGACACGGUCCAGACUCCGACGGGAGGCAGCAGUAGGGAAUCUUCCGCAAUGGGCGAAAGCCUGACGGAGCAACGCCGCGUGAGUGAUGAAGGUCUUCGGAUCGUAGAACUCUGUUAUUAGGGAAGAACAUAUGUGUAAGUAACUGUGCACAUCUUGACGGUACCUAAUCAGAAAGCCACGGCUAACUACGUG